This 89-nucleotide signal recognition particle RNA is filed under the name human gut metagenome. Its description in RNAcentral is "Bacterial small signal recognition particle RNA". It matches the Rfam family "Bacterial small signal recognition particle RNA", at positions 5 to 89 of the family's 97-position model. From Rfam's summary of the family: The signal recognition particle (SRP) is a universally conserved ribonucleoprotein involved in the co-translational targeting of proteins to membranes. The record is from RNAcentral.
CGGGUCCCAUGCAAUUUGCGGACGCGCAAACCCCGCCAGGUUCGGAAGAAAGCAACGGUAGCGACGCCCCAGAUGUGCCGUGGCAAACC